This is a long non-coding RNA of Daucus carota subsp. sativus, 691 nucleotides long. RefSeq lists it as uncharacterized. Lineage: Eukaryota; Viridiplantae; Streptophyta; Magnoliopsida; Apiales; Apiaceae. The transcript has 3 exons. The record is from RefSeq and is a predicted model, not a curated record.
AAUUACAAAAAGCUGUGCACGUGUGAUGCCCCUACAAUCUGGGAAGCAAGUGAUGCAGAUUUUGUCACCAGCAAAGUUUGAUGGUGACAAGCAGUGCCCCUAGGACUUGGAUAUUUCUGCUGUCUCUGUUCUAUACGAUGUUGACAAACCAGGUGUUAUUAUUCUAAAUGGCUGCAGGGUAGCUGACCUGAUUCCUACGCUCGUACCAAAUGUAUUCAAGUUUUAUUAAGGUCUUUCCCCCUCCCCAGUUUUAGUCAUAAUAUUUUUCAUUGCCGCACCUUUUUAGGCCACUGGAUUUCUUGGCGAUGUCUGCUGGGCUCUUCUUCUUGAUAGGGUUUGUCGGCUGUAUCGUAAUGACAAUGGGCUUGGUUUAUCUGUAUGGGUUCCUCGCAGGAAUCCUUGUGAUCAAACUCAUCAUAUGCCAAUUAUAACUCCUGCUUACCCAUGCAUGAAUUCCGGCUACAAUGUCUCAACCAGUACUCUUCGCGUGAUGAGGGAGCAAUUUCAAUUUGGCAAUAAGAUUUGUGAGGAAAUUGAGCUAAAUAAAUCACAGUGGAAAGAUUUGUUUGAGCCGUGUAUGUUCUUCAAAAGCUACAAGAACUAUCUGCAGGUAGACAUUGUUGCUGCUGAUGUUGAUGGCUUGCAUGCAUAGAAAGGAUGGGUGAAAUCCCAACCGAUAAAACUGACUCUG